CCUUCGGGUCAUAUGGGGGAGUGGCGAACGGGUGAGUAACACGUGAGAAACCUGCCUAGAAGAUCGGGACAACCACGGGAAACUGUGGCCAAUACCGUAUACCUUCUUACCGUCGCAUGGCGGUUUGAAGAAAUGCUCCGGCGCUUCUAGAGGGUCUCGCGGCCUAUCAGCUAGUUGGUGAGGUAAUGGCUCACCAAGGCAUCGACGGGUAGCUGGUCUGGGAGGACGAUCAGCCACACUGGGACUGAGACACGGCCCAGACUCCUACGGGAGGCAGCGGUGGGGAAUCUUGCGCAAUGGGCGAAGGCCUGACGCAGCGAUGCCGCGUGGGGGAUGAAGGCCUUCGGGUCGUAAACCCCUUUCAGCAGGGACGAAAAUGACGGUACCUGCAGAAGAAGCCCCGGCCAACUACGUGCCAGCAGCCGCGGUAACACGUAGGGGGCAAGCGUUGUCCGGAUUUAUUGGGCGUAAAGGGCUCGUAGGCUGUUCAGUAAGUCAGGUGUGAAAACCCAAGGCUCAACCUUGGGACGCCACUUGAUACUGCUGUGACUAGAGUCCGGUAGAGGAGAUUGGAAUUCCUGGUGUAGCGGUGAAAUGCGCAGAUAUCAGGAGGAACACCAACGGCGAAAGCAGAUCUCUGGGCCGGUACUGACGCUGAGGAGCGAAAGCAUGGGGAGCGAACAGGAUUAGAUACCCUGGUAGUCCAUGCCGUAAACGUUGGGCACUAGGUGU
Molecule: ribosomal RNA, 732 nt
Filed under: uncultured bacterium
Lineage: Bacteria
Description: bacterial SSU rRNA
Rfam family: Bacterial small subunit ribosomal RNA
Source: RNAcentral